Molecule: ribosomal RNA, 284 nt
Filed under: uncultured bacterium
Lineage: Bacteria
Description: partial 16S ribosomal RNA
Rfam family: Bacterial small subunit ribosomal RNA
Source: RNAcentral
GUAAUCCUACGGGGCGCAGCAGUGAGGAAUAUUGGUCAAUGGGCGGGAGCCUGAACCAGCCAAGUCGCGUGAAGGAAGAAGGUACUUAGUAUUGUAAACUUCUUUUGUCGGGGAACAAAGGCGGAGACGCGUCUCCGGAUGAGUGUACCCGAAGAAAAAGCAUCGGCUAACUCCGUGCCAUCAGCCGCGGUAAUACGGAGGAUGCGAGCGUUAUCCGGAUUUAUUGGGUUUAAAGGGUGCGCAGGCGGGAGAUCAAGUCAGCUGGAAAAUGUCGGGGCUCAACC